Molecule: small RNA, 558 nt
Filed under: Pan troglodytes (chimpanzee)
Lineage: Eukaryota; Metazoa; Chordata; Mammalia; Primates; Hominidae
Description: processed transcript
Source: RNAcentral
GCGGGGGGUCAGGAUCCUCCACAGUUCCUGAUGAAUAUCUGUUAUCGCUGAAGUUUCUCUUUGGCUCAUCAGCCACCCAGGCCUUGGACCUAGUUGAUCGACAGUCCAUCACCUUAAUCUCAUCACCCAGUGGAAGGCGUGUUUACCAGGUCCUUGGAAGUUCCGGUAAAACAUACACAUGUUUGGCUUCUUGUCAUUACUGUUCAUGUCCUGCAUUUGCCUUCUCAGUGCUACGGAAGAGUGACAGCAUCCUGUGCAAGCAUCUCUUGGCAGUUUACCUGAGUCAGGUUAUGAGGACCUGUCAGCAGCUAAGUGUCUCUGACAAGCAGUUGACUGACAUAUUAUUGAUGGAGAAGAAACAAGAAGCAUAAAAGGACUGCAGGAGGUGCUGUGGGUUGGAGCCGUGGGCUGUGGAGGGUUUGUGUAUGAUGAGAAGCCCUGUACAGUCUUCUCAAGAAAAACCCUGAGCCAGUCUCUGAGACGCUUCGGUAAAAAAUGUCCCUGGAUGGAAUCAAGAUUUUAAAUUCAAAUAAAGCCUAAUAUCAUGUUGUGUCCACA